This is a long non-coding RNA of Chelonia mydas (Green sea turtle), 1765 nucleotides long. RefSeq lists it as uncharacterized. Lineage: Eukaryota; Metazoa; Chordata; Testudines; Cheloniidae. The transcript has 5 exons. The record is from RefSeq and is a predicted model, not a curated record.
UAGUUUUGCUCAUGCUCUUGAAAGCUUUGUGUUGUGAUCCAGGUUACUCGGAACUUUGUCAGUCAAGGCACCGACGUUUGAUAGUGAGUAAGCAAACAGAGUGGUGGUGAUCAUGGUGGUACUGCAUGAGUACUUUACAAGUACUGUACAUAAAUGUACUGGACUUUCAGACAUCAGCAGUAUUUUUUUGAGUUAAAUGCUAAUCCUCGAGGGACUGAGCUGAACUUUCUUAAACUUUCAUGCGCAUGAAAGUUUAUCUUUGGACAGGUUGAGAUGCAAAGCGUGGAAAAUUCAUCCCAAAAUAAACUUGAGAAAGAUAUGAGCAACUAAGGACUUGUCCACUCACACCAAUUGUUCUGCUCAAACUAUUCCAAUAUAGUUAAAGUGGCACAUUGCAAUUGUAUCACAAUAAGGUUACUUUGUAUAGUUGUUUUUCUCAGGAAAGGGAAAUAAAGUAUACUGGUAUAAAGCACUUUUAUACUGAUAUAACUGUGUUCGCACUGGGGUGUGUACCACUGCAGCAAUUUUGGUUAAGAAAAUCGCAUCCCUAUCCAAAUGAGUUAUACUGGUUCAAAAAAACUUGUGUGGAUCAGGCUUAAGUCCCAAUUUCUAUUCUAACCCCUCUUUGUUAUCCACUAUAAUGCUCACUAGUGCAUCUGUUAUCGGCCUUUAGUAAUUUUUUUUAUCUAAUAGAUUUGUUAAUCUUAUAACCAACCCACUCCACCACCUGCUAUCCGGAUGAACCUGUUAUCAUGUAAGGCUGAUCCUGUGGCUGAAGCGCUGUCUUCGGGUUUUGGAAGUCUGGGUUUGAUUUCUGGUUGUGACUACUAUGCCUUUGGGAAAACCACUUCAUUCUUUUGUGCUGCAGUUCUCCCUCUGAUGAUAGCACUUCCUUUACCUCAGAUUGACCUUGAAGGGAGCUGUGGAUAAAUUCAUCUCAUGUGGCAGAGGAAGAAAGACCAUUUUGGAAGAGGUUGGAGCAGCGAAGGAGAGAUGUGUGGUCCUUGUUUUAGGUUCUUAUGUGUGGCAAUCUACCUGGAACUUGGAGGAACACAGACUACAGGAGAGAAGAAGUUGGAGGAGACACCAAGAAGUAUUUACUUUGUAAUGAGAAUUCACAGUAGCUUGAAUUUGGCUUGAACAUUAGCAGAUGUCUGCACUGGAUCAAGUGAUGCAUGGAGAAAUGCUGCUAGCUGUUCUGCCCCUGCUGUCACUGAGGGGAGGUCUGUGUGAAGAGAGGCUCUACACUGUGCCCACACUGCAAAAUUGGGCUCACCCUGAUAUUUGGUGACAGGGAAUUCCACACCCCAGGUUCAGCCACUAAGAAUACUUGGCCCCUGACAGUUUCACCUUUGGCUCGAUCAGAUGCAACAUCCCCAUUAUGAUCACAGCUGUCAUGACAACAACAAGGAGUCCGUUGGCACCUUAAAGACUAAAUAAAUCUGAGUCUUUAAGGUGCCACCGGACUCGUUGUUGUUUUUCUGGAUACAGACUAACAAGGCUACCCCCUGAUACUUGACAGCUGUCAUAGUAGAUCACAGAGAGAGGGAUGAUUCCUGGUUAGUUGGGACCCAACUGAUUAGACAACUUUAAGAUUGGUAAUAUACAAGAACAUCAAAAAUAUGCACACGUGAACUUGUUAAACACAUUUAUUGAGUUCUUGACAGUAACCAAACACAGUGAAUGACCAUUAUAAACAAGAAAAAAGGCAUUAGCUUUAACUUGGUCAGCUCCUGCUACAUCUGUAAAGAAAAUAUAUCCCUUC